GUCAUCACUUCGGCAGGACAUAUACUAAAAUUGGAAUGAUACAAAGGAGAUUAGCAUGGCCCCUGCACAAGGAUGACACAUAAAUUCGUGAAGCACUCCAUAUAUUU
Small nuclear RNA from Rana temporaria (common frog), 107 nucleotides. The record is from RefSeq and is a predicted model, not a curated record. Lineage: Eukaryota; Metazoa; Chordata; Amphibia; Anura; Ranidae.